GGCAAGAUUGUCCAAAGCCGAGACUUAGUGUAGAAUGCCAUCGUAGAGUACGACGCCCGAGUACAGGUACUCGCGGAGUGCGAAUAUGGAUCAGCCGAGUGAGUUUGUUGGCAGUAGCACUUGGGCAUUGCGAAGUGUGAAGCGUGCCUUGUGUAACAUAUGGCAUCCUGGAGCUGCGAUGUAAACUUUGAUCUAUUGGAUCAAAGUGAGAAUUGAGCUGGUUGGACGUCAUCCCCGAGUGACUUUGGACGCGUGAGAAUGAAUUCCGAUGAUAAGUAAGUGUUUCGGCGCAAAGUGGGCGCGAAACNGGUAUACCAUUUGGGUUCAUGUAUCAUCUAUUUCGAUGUACAGAGACAUGUAAAUGAAUGUAUUAUAAAGCAUGUAACUAGCUAAAUGUUUCAGUUAUACAGUUCAGUUUGAAAGUUUUAAGUUACAGUGAAUUUCAUUGUACAGUUAGUUUACUAUCACUUGUGUUUGUUGCUUGCCUUCGUGCAAGCCAUGUAUAUUGAAAUGUGAUCCUGGGAAUUAUUUAUUUCUUUAUACAUGUACUCGUUGUUGUUGAGCCUUGGGCGAACAGGGGAGGUGCUGUUCGUUCGGCGUCUGUGCGCGGGCCCAGAUCGACCAAAUUGGCGACCGCGGGACGUGACACCUUGGAUCACUCGUGGGGCUGGUGGCUCACACUAGGUGCAUAGGAGCCGAUAGUGGUACGUAUUGCUC
RNAcentral lists this long non-coding RNA (717 nucleotides) under Ananas comosus (pineapple). RNAcentral describes it as "long non-coding RNA (ACOM_LNC031530)". The record is from RNAcentral. Lineage: Eukaryota; Viridiplantae; Streptophyta; Magnoliopsida; Poales; Bromeliaceae.